Molecule: long non-coding RNA, 2027 nt
Filed under: Malus domestica (apple)
Lineage: Eukaryota; Viridiplantae; Streptophyta; Magnoliopsida; Rosales; Rosaceae
Description: long non-coding RNA (MDOM_LNC018849)
Source: RNAcentral
UUGACUUAAGUUGUAUGACAACUUAAUGACUAAAUAUUCAUAAAGGCCCAAACAACCCAAUAACACCCUAUGGCCGGCCAUAUUGAUAAAGGAGUGAGUUUUGGAUUUAUUACAAGUUUGCCACUCCAAUGAAGGUAGGUAUAAAUAUGACUUUAUAGCCUUUUCUUCAUUAGGGUUUCUUUUAGAGAAAAUAUGAGAACACAAUGUCUCUCCCUUUCUCUCUAAGAGGCCAGCCACCCUAGAGGAUUUUAGCUAGCAGUCUUACUUCCUCUAGGUCACUUAUCUCUUCUUCAAGUCCAUCCUUGGUGUGGACAAAUUAGAGGUUCUCAACUUUGGGAACUUGGAACCAUCCUCCUCCAAGAAAUCGAUGGAACUAAGAAGCAAGGAAUGAAGGCCCUCUCCUUGGGGGAUUAGCCUUUGCUUAUGCAAAGAGGAAUCAACAAAGGUAUAAAAUAUCUCAACUCACUUUAUUCUUGAGUUGAGUCUUGGUUCACCUUUCUACUAGGCUUUGAAUUUCAUGGGUAAUGUUUUGUUUUUGAGUGCAUACAAGCAUGAUUCCGCCUUUAAAUGUUAAUUGCAUGCCAUAGAUGUUGCUCAAAUGAACAUGUUUUUCACAAAAUUUCCUUCAGCUUGCACUAUCCAAUCCAGGCUAAAAAAUGCACCAAAUUUCCUUAAGUUUCGUCAUUUAGUUCCAAAUGCUAGAACUCAUGCCUAUUUCAUUCAAAGCAUGCUAUUGAUUUGCAUAACACAUAUUCAAGAUGAAGUUGUGUAGUGACCACCAAAGCCAAAUUACCGUGCCCCUAUUUCAUUAUGUGUUUAAGUUUAACCUCGUUGAGCCUUGUUAAGCCUAUGUUCUUUGUUAACCCACACUAUCCUUACCUACCCUAAUUUUAGGACCAUCCGUACCCUUAUUCUUGAAGCAUAGUAAAGCAUGACUUAAAAUGAACUCCUUUUUUAUCAAUGUAUUGCAGAAAACAAGUGUGGGGGAAGUGAUUCUAUUGUCUAUGUGUGUGCCAAAGUCCUUAAUAAGGCACGGGUAGAAAAGAAAAAAAAAAGAGUGAAAAGAAAAAAGAAUUGAAAAGAGUAUGAAAAAGAGCUCUAAAGUGUUGUUUGUUAAAAAAGGGUCCAAAACAUUGAAUUCGGCCCUAAGUGUUGCAUGAAUCUACCCUUUGUAUUUAAAAGUUGAUUCUGCAUUCUAAAGUGAAUUCCAAGUGUCUAUUUCAUUGCUUUGCUUGCUAUUUCUUUAAGAAUCUUUGUUAACCCCCAAGCCCUGUUACAACCCUUGACUUCAAUCUUGAGUGUUGUGUGUUUCAAUUUGUGGAGUUCGAAAUUGGUAUGAGCAUAUGGUGUCACUGGUUCUCGCAUUUAAGUAGUAGCAUUCCAUUCAAGAGAUCAUAUCUAAACAUGCUUAGUAACUCCAGAAAAUUGCUUUCUUUGUUAAAACAUUUGUGAGUCCUAGUCUUUCGUGUUUACAUCAAUCUUCUCACUUAUAGUAGUGUAUGGUGUGUAGUUAGAAAAUGUGUGUGAAAAUAGAGAGUAUCUUGUAAGGAAUUGAGCAAAUUCUCUAAGGCAUGUUACUACAUUCAAAACAUCAAUUUAAUUGGUUAAUUGUGAACUAGUAAGUGGUGAUUGUGAUUAAGUAUGUGCUCAAGUGUAAAGAUGACCAAAAUCAGUGGGAAUGAUGAUUUUUAACAUGUCAUUUUUCAUUAAAAAUCGCUGAGGCAAAUGUUGGAAGGUCUAGGUUGUGUUUUGUUUGUUUUGUUUUGCUCGAGGACUAUCAAAAGCUAAAUGUGGGGGAAUUUGAUAGGAGCAUAUUUAUGCGACUGAGUUAGCUUAUUCUCACGCAUUUAUGUUGCUAUUUCUUAGUUAAUUAUGUAUUUUAAGCUACUUUUGUGUGUUUGUAGGUCCAUAGGCCUUAUAAAGCAAUAAGAUGCAUUUUGGUGCAUUUUGGAGCAGUUUUGGGAUUGGAAUGGAUAGCACAUGCAUGGAGCAAGGUGGAUGGAUGAAAUUGAAGACUAAAGAGGCUA